Long non-coding RNA from Frankliniella occidentalis (western flower thrips), 950 nucleotides. RefSeq lists it as uncharacterized. NCBI's taxonomy places the organism in Eukaryota, Metazoa, Arthropoda, Insecta, Thysanoptera, Thripidae. The transcript has 2 exons. The record is from RefSeq and is a predicted model, not a curated record.
UUUUGGGACAAAAUCUACUUGGGUUGAGGUCGUUGGGUUCCAAACUUCCCCCACCUAAUGAUAUUCUUUAGAAGUAGACACUUUAGCACUUCGAAAAUGGUCGUUGUCACUAACACAACCUCGAGGGUUCUUGGCGUACGAGACCACAAAACAGGCUGUGUACCUUGGGACAGUGUGUAACAUGAACGUAUUGUGUAGUCUGGCUCAAUGUGUUAAAAGACGAAUCGCCUUAUUUGCUUAAAUCAAUGAUGUGCCUAUGCCAUAACACUGUCACUGAUGCACAGUUGUUUGUUUACAGUCCAAAUUCACAAAAUAAAUCUAAAAUAAUUACCCAUCAUGUGUUUUCGAUUAAAUUAAACAAAAAUCCCGUUAAAAAAUGGAUCUUGUUGAAAAAACUGAUAUAAUAUUGGCAGCUGUUGCAGAAAGCAAGGAGAAUCUGUUUUCUCCCUUUCUGUCUCCAGAACUCAAUCCUUAACUUUGUUACACACUGCCCCACUGUCGUUACACACUGCCCUAGGGCGGGGCAGUGUAUAACAAACAAAUGCAGACACACCCGAGCAAUUUUUAGGCUUGGUACAGGUCCAAUCUAUCCUUUUGCAUCCGAUAUACCUAACAUUUUUACAUAGUUUGACUUUUUGAACCAAAUUCCAAAAUCUGUUACACACUGCCCCACUCUCUCUUACCUCCUGCGUCUGGUUUCAGGUUGGUGGCCAUGGGAUUAACAUCAGCUGAUCCAUCUGCGGUUCGUUGGUCCGUUUAGGAACCCUUUUGGGAAGGUGUACGGACUAUUUAGCAAGUGAUUUCAUCCUAGAAGGGGACCAAGGGCCAAGCAAACAAAAAUACCAGUUGCAGACAGGAAGUAUUGACUGAGAUACUAAAACACGACGACGACACGUCGAGAAUUAAAUCGUCCACAGGAGGUUGUACGCAAAUAAAGCGUGUCUCAGAAA